UGCUAUGUGAAACGUUUCUGAAAACAGUG
This 29-nucleotide non-coding RNA is filed under the name Mus musculus (house mouse). The record is from RNAcentral. Lineage: Eukaryota; Metazoa; Chordata; Mammalia; Rodentia; Muridae.